Odocoileus virginianus texanus is the source of this 309-nucleotide non-coding RNA. Lineage: Eukaryota; Metazoa; Chordata; Mammalia; Artiodactyla; Cervidae. The record is from RefSeq and is a predicted model, not a curated record.
AAUAAAAUUCCUCACUAGAAAAGCAGACGUAGGACGCCUUCUCUGGAUUUUGACGCGACCUCAAUUACGGAUGUCUGCGUUUGUACAGGAUUUCCAGGACCUUCUCCCAUUUUGAAAACUUCACAGUCAGCCAGUCACUGUUGAUGCGGAACUCAGGAACUUCAGGAGGAAAAAACUGUCCCUGGCUUGUAGGAGGCUGAGAGGAGCUACCCCAAGUCCAAGGUCAGAAGCGGAGGCCGGGAGGAGAUAUCCCACGUCCAAGGUAAGGAGCAGCAGCUGCGCUUCACUGAAGCAGCCGUGAAGAGAUAC